CUCCAUAAGGAGUCGGUGAAUGUGGUGGAAGGUUCUUCUUCUAAAUGUUAACCCUUUAAGAAAAGAAAAAAAGAACAAGAAGAGUAAGAAGAAGGUGCAAAAUGCUGGGGCACCUAAGCCUAGUUAGAUCAAAAAAUCUAAGUCCGAUCAGAGUUAGACGGAAUGCUUCUACUGUAAGAAGCAGGGGCACUAGAAGAGGAAUUAUCCUCAAUACAUUGCCUCUCU
RNAcentral lists this long non-coding RNA (225 nucleotides) under Elaeis guineensis (African oil palm). RNAcentral's name for it is "long non-coding RNA (EGUI_LNC040827)". Lineage: Eukaryota; Viridiplantae; Streptophyta; Magnoliopsida; Arecales; Arecaceae. The record is from RNAcentral.